GCCUGUCAAAAGGUACUUGGUCUGGACCAGACUCUCUACCAGGCUGGCUUCAAAGCCCAUCUGGAGCACCGUCUGCACCACUGGGGAGAGCAUGACUGACGACGCUGCCAAACCGCCGACCACGUCUGGGAGAUGAGAGAAAGCAGACAGCGCGGACGAGGGGACGUGCAGCAACAGCAGCAGGAGGAGCGGCGGCGGCGGCGACUGUGGCUCAAAGCCCGGAUGGAGCAGGCAGCCAUUGGGGAAGUGAAGUGUACUGGACUUCAACGUAACAGGGCUCUCUCUGGGAGUAAAAAGCGAGCAGGAAAGACAUUCAUGUUCCAGGAGCUCCAUUGUGUGACUCAUUGCAGUAAGUUGAAAACUCUCAGAAGGACUUUUUUUUUUUUUUUUUUUUUUUGUGGAAGGGGUGUUCCGGCUUACUGGACGCGUGCAAGUUGAGGAAAGGCGCACAGCGGAAAAGGAGCAGCACAGCUGAGCUACUAGCAACGCGCUAAGUGGAGCUCGGCAGCCGGGGGAACUCGCUUUGCACACCACGGAGCUUGAAAUCCAGUCAGCGGGCCGGGCUCUGUGCGAAUCCAGGGACUUGCUUCAUGAAUUAUGUCUACCACAAGCAUUGACCCUCAGUUGAAAGGAUCUCCACAUGGCUAACAUGGAUCCUCCCCCUAAAGAUAGAGAAGACCGAUCAAAGGGACAAGCAUCUAAAGUGCAAAAUGGUUCACUGCAUCAGAAGGAGACAGUCCAUGACAAUGACUUUGAGCCGUACCUCACUGGUCAAUCAACUCAGAACAACAGCUACCAGUCCAUCACCGACCCUUACCUGUCCAGUUACUACGCUCCCUCCAUCGGCUUUCCAUACCCCCUGAGCGAGGCUCCUUGGUCCACAGGCGGCGACCCUCCAAUUCCAUACCUCACCCCCUACGGACCCUUGAGCAAUGGAGACCAUCAUUUCAUGCCGGACACUGUGUUCGGGCAGCCGGGCGGCCUGGGAAGCAGCAUUUACCCCCACAGGUUUAAUUUUUUCCCCGAAAACCCCGCUUUCUCUGCUUGGGGGACAAGUGGCUCCCAGGGCCAGCAGACUCAAAGUUCAGCCUACGGUGGCAGCUACAGCUACCCGCCCAGCUCUCUCGGAGGCACACUUGUGCCUGAUGGUCAGACGGGUUUUCACAGCGACACGCUCAACAAAGCCCCUGGUAUGAACAGCCUGGAGCAGGGCAUGGUCGGUUUGAAGAUCGGGGGUGAUGUUGCCGGCCAGGCUUCCGCGCUCAAGGCCGUGGGCUCGGUGAUCGGCGGAGCCGCCGUGGCGGCCUCAGGGAACGGAGCCACGCCCAUCGGAAUGCCCCCACCCAAACCCGCCUCUUGGGCAGCCAUUGCCAGCAAGCCUGCCAAGCCGCAGCAGCUGAAAGCUAAGGUGAAGCCGGGACUGGUCAACCCGGGGGCAACCUUUCCCCCGCCGCCCAUCAAACACAACAUGAACAUUGGCACCUGGGAAAAGGGACCCGCGACCAAAGUGGCCACGACUGCGCUGCAGCAGCAGCUGCCGCCGCCUCUUGGUCUGCCUCAUCCCAUGCCCCACCAAGCCCCCAUGCAACCUCCCCCUCCCCAGUCUCUGGUGCAGCCUCAGAUGCCGCCCAUGUCCUUACAGCACCAACCGCCCCAUCACCAGCACCACCCGCCACCCGCUCAGCCCUACCAAAACCACACACAACCCCCGCAAGCCCAAACCCGUUGGGUGGCCCCACGCAACCGCAACCAAGUCUACGGGCAGGGAGGCCCCAGCCACGACGCUAGCGGGAUGAUGGGCAUGCUCGGUAGCGCAAACUGCGGCUCUCAAACCUGUGCCACCCAGGGACCUGGUGGCGAGUCCCACCCGGUGCUAGAGAAGCUUCGUGCCUCCCACAGUUAUAACCCCAAGGACUUUGAAUGGAACCUGAAGAACGGACGCGUUUUCAUCAUUAAGAGCUACUCUGAGGACGACAUCCAUCGCUCCAUCAAGUACUCCAUCUGGUGCAGCACGGAGCACGGCAACAAGCGACUGGACUCGGCCUUCCGGGCAAUGAACGGCAAAGGGCCUGUGUACCUGCUCUUCAGUGUCAACGGCAGCGGCCAUUUUUGCGGCGUGGCCGAGAUGCGUUCGCCGGUGGACUACGGCACCAGCGCCGGCGUUUGGGCGCAGGACAAGUGGAAGGGCAAGUUUGACGUAGACUGGUUGUUUGUUAAGGACGUGCCUAAUAGCCAGCUGCGUCACAUCCGCCUGGAGAACAACGACAACAAGCCGGUGACCAACUCCCGCGACACCCAGGAGGUUCCUCUGGAGAAGGCCAAGCAGGUGCUCAAGAUCAUCGCCACCUACAAACACACCACGUCCAUCUUUGAUGACUUCUCUCACUAUGAGAAGAGGCAGGAAGAGGAGGAAGAGGUGCGUAAGGUGGGUGUACUUGUCUCAGAAUCCAACCUUUAUGUGGACGUACAGCUGUGUUCAAAAUUCUGGCAGUGUGUUUAAAAGCAUGAGGAAAGCUCAAAAUCCCUUUAAUUGUUUGAACCCACAUGUGUUGGGAACACGGGUUUUCAGGCAGAAACGUAUGGGGGAAUGUUUGCUGACUUCCUCCUAUACCCACCACACACACACACACACACACACAACAUACAACACACACACACGCUGAAGUGGACCUUAUAUGUCGCGUGUGGGGAGUAGCUGGACCCAAGAGCAGGCGGAGGCAGAUGCAAAAUGAUGAACAGUUUAUUGAGCAAAGGUUAUGGAGGUAGUCCUGGAUGUGUUAGCAGGCAGUGGCGUGGACAGGUGGCAGGCAGUGGACAGAACAGGCGGCUGGCUUGGUGGCAGGAAUGACGUGGGUCAGGAACACAGCCGUGGUACCGCUAGGAGAGGCUGCAAUACUUUGGCGAGGAUUUCCUGGUAUAGGCAGGCUUAAAUACCGGUGGUGAUGAGGCUGAUUGGAGACAGGUGCUGAAAACAGAGAGGGGAGGGGGGGGGGAGAGAGGACGGAAAGAGCUCUCCAGGCUACUAUAAUGGAACUUCAAAAUAUACAUUGUAUUUUCUUCAAAAUAUAUUGAAUCAUAAACAAUUUAAAAGCAAAUCUUGGAUUUCACUAGCGGGGGGGGGACUUAGUUUCGAACCUUUUAGCGCAGUAGUUUUGACUUUGUUUCCCAGCGUGCUUGCUUUCUUUUAAGGAUUAAAUUGUUCAGUUGCUUGUGUUGCUAUUAACUGACCUACCUGGAUGCAAACUAGUCUUUACGUUACAUGACAGUGGGACUGCAACUAACUAUUAAUAAACGAUUAAUCUGUCAAUUAUUUUUUCUUUUAAUUGAUAAUCAGAUACCAAAAAAAAAAACCAUUACAAUUUCUAUCCCUUUAUUAAAAAAACAGGACACUUCAAAUUGGCAGUGCAGAAAAUGCGGGAAAAAACUAGUUAAUUCAUUUCAUAAUCGAUUAGUUGGAGAUUAAUGGAUUUAUUGUUACUCCUCCACAUGACAGGUUACGAGCGAUAUCAAGUUGGAACCCCCCUUGCCCGCUAUAAGAUAACGACAGUUACAGUUUAUGCUGGUCUUCCCAGCAUGCCUAGCAGCACUUUUAAAAUCAUGUUAGGAAUUAAUUGCUGUUUCCAGGUAGUAAUAGUCAUUGUGUGUUAUUUCCUUUUAGUGUUACAUAUUUUGUUCGUACAGUGAGUGGGUUUGGUGUUAUUUGUAGUGAUGUUGGUUUUCAACUGUGUGUGAGUGACUGCAAUAUAGUUCUUUUGCACUGAAUCACUAAAAUAUUUACUACAUUGAAAAGAGUUUGUUCACAGGAUUUUCCAGUACUUGUUCAGUUCCUGAUUUAUUGCACUCCACUCUGCUAUUAUUUUGAACACCUGCCCGUUCAAAUAAUUAUUAAACUACACAGACAUGCAUGCAUAUGAUGAAAGCUGGAUUUGUUUUGUUUUGUUUUGUUUGUUUGUGUUUUCUGUGACUACGACACCUACCGGUAAAUUAUUUGCCAUGUCAAAACUUCUGCCCACAACGUCUUCGAUCAGACUUUUGAACCUGCUCAGAUACAGAGCCGCUCUCGCUUGGAUCAGGAGCGCCAAAACAGGAAAUAAACAAUAGAGGACGUUUAUCUUUGGCUUGAUCAAGUUACACUAGGACAUGAUUGAUUUAAGAGACAGAAGAAUAUGAAAUGCAAACAAGCCCUUCGUGUUUUCCUCUUCAAUACUGGGAAUUCUCUGCCAUUGAUGAAUUUGUCUUUGCCCCGUGUUACCUCUGCCCCACACCCAACACUUCUUUUGCAGGGAUUAAGUUGAUUUAGUGUAUAAUGAAUUACCUCCACCUACUUUAAUUAUUAUUAUUAUUAUUUUACACUUCUAAACAGCCGGUCCUCUCAGCAGACUGGUUGAGUUCUGUAUUGCACCUACUAUCUCCUCAGCUGCAUUAGGGUUUGACUGCAUCCCCGAGAAUAAAUCGGCCACUUUAUAUAUUUCAGUACAAUCAGGAAUGGCUAUGUCCUACACGUAUUUGUCCACGCGGGGGCAGCAUUGCCAAGUUGUAGAGGUCUAAUGUGCCAACAGGGUUGGAGCAUCCUCAAGGCAAUGUACUACUACUAGGAACUGUGCGACAAUAAAAUUUCAGUGAUUUAUUUUUCAUUCCGAUUGACAGAAUCUCGCUCUAUAUUUUUUUGGCAUACUACUGACAACAUUAAUUUCAGACACUUGUUUUCUGAAGCCUUAUUAUUAUUAUUUUUUUUUGUCCCCACUAAUUAUUGAUGAACUGCUAACAGUGACACUGCUGGAGAAAUCAGGGAUAGUUUGACGUCACACAAGACUAGAGACAUUUCAGAGGAGGAAUCUGGGAAAGAACUACAAACAAACAAAAAAAAAGACCUGCAAAUCAGGACCUUGCCCUUUUAAAAAAACAAAACCUCAAAUUGUACUCUCCACAUCCUUCAGCCCUGUGCCUCGUUUUCUUGGUUCUUGUUGGUGGUCUCCAAUGGCGCUGGUGUUUCUCCAGCCACUUUGAGAGAAAUGCGCCAUCCAUCGGUUUGGCUAUUUACAAUCAAAAUGAUGGAGUGAUGUCAUUGCUUUGUGUUUUGCUCCAUGAAAUUGCGGGGUAGGUCUCGCUCCGUUUGUCACCAUUCUGUCUUAAUCCUCGUUUUUUUUCUUUCUUUUUUUUUCUCUCCCCCCCCCCCCCCCCCCCCCUGAACUUAAGUUUGCUAAAUCUCUCAUGUCGACCGUAAUGCUAAGCUUUAACGUAGGAGCCUAUAUAUUCAUGGAGAAAGCCUAAAAAUGUAUAACCUAAUCAUAACUGUAACUGAUUUAGUAUCAAGUAAGGAGGGAAAAAAAUGAAAAGUGGAUUUAUGUGUGAUUUUUGGGUGGUUUAUUUGAUGCAAGAUACAAAACCAGAAUGCAGUCACCAAAAGUGUGUGCGUGCGUGUCAAACUGGAAUCUGGUGGGUGUGUUGAUCACGUGUGUAACGCAGCCAUCAAAGAAUGGAAAUUAGAAACGCCCCUGUCAAUUGUGCGUUUUGAGCGAUGUCAAAUCCAAAUCGAUUUGUGCCCGCUCACUCAUGCAAUUAUGCUGUACAUCGACUGCUCCCAAUUAUAUUUUUAUCUUAACAUGCACUCACCUCGUUCACGCCGUGUUGCUUCAUCUUACCCGGCUGGUAAAGGAAAAUGUUCGCUUUGAGGUGAUACUGAUUCUCAUGAAAAGCUUAGUCACUUUAUUCUCAUGUGGGCAUUUGUGACACCGCAACUAUUUUUAUUUUAUUUUUUUUAACCUGCCUGUUAAGUGUGGUUUCCACGGAAACUGACUUUUUGACAGCAUCUCCUUUUUCUGCAUAAUGAACACUCUUCAAGCCUUUUUUUUUUUUUUUUUUUUUCACCAUGUCUGUUCGCUCCAUUUCAGUGGUGGGGAAGGUGAGGUUGCUGUUUGUUUUGUUUUGGGGAGGGGUGCUCUCUUAAAGAUGCCAUCACCGAAGUCAUUAAAUGCUUGCGUUGCUCUAAGGACAGGAUUGACGUGCACGUUAAUGGUAAACGGCAGAGGAGUCCGUUUAGCCAUGAACGGAUGUAUCACAAAGAUUAAUGACGUAAAAUGAAAAUUCUCUUCUAGACCACAGUAGUAGUGGAAAUAUUGUUCGACAGAUGUAUCUUCUUUUUUUCUUGAUAGAAGAAAUCAAGCCUUAAUAAACUGUCCAUUCAAAAA
RNA transcript from Phycodurus eques (leafy seadragon), 6188 nucleotides. It is a transcript of the gene named YTH domain-containing family protein 1-like, with no coding region annotated. The record is from RefSeq and is a predicted model, not a curated record. The transcript has 8 exons. Lineage: Eukaryota; Metazoa; Chordata; Actinopteri; Syngnathiformes; Syngnathidae.